Long non-coding RNA from Hemiscyllium ocellatum (epaulette shark), 1836 nucleotides. RefSeq lists it as uncharacterized. Lineage: Eukaryota; Metazoa; Chordata; Chondrichthyes; Orectolobiformes; Hemiscylliidae. The record is from RefSeq and is a predicted model, not a curated record. The transcript is spliced from 4 exons.
UCAGGGCAUUGAACACAGACUGAAUGACUCAGUGACGCUUGGAUCAGGUCAGAUCAAAUUCUCAAGCAAACAGAUGGCUGGGGAUAUUCAGUAACAACGGUGAGGAGAGAGAGGAACAAUUCACAUUUCAAGGGACCCUUCCUCAAAACGGCCUGUUCUGAAGGAGUUUCCCGCAGAAAUCACUGGAUUGAAAGGUACUCAGGAAGUUCCUGUCUCAGCCGAAUUCCUAACUCCUGUCUCAUCCAUAACCGCAUCAAAGACAGUUGGUCAGCCAGAGAGAGAUGGAGAGGGAGAUCUGGAGCCUUCAGUAAAUCCUGCAGCCGCUUCUGGCAACAAAUGGCCACAAAACGAUCAAAGGUGAAAGUGACGGUGAACCAGACAGAGCAGUCAGUGGCUGAAUAAACCAGGAUGGCGUGGAUAUUACACACGCGGACGGAGUACAGGAAAUAAAACUGUUCCUGAUAAACAAUGGGAAUGUGUCUCAGGAUCAGAUCGAGGAUAAUGACCAGGAGAUCCGCCGCUGCCAUGGCCGCCAGAUUUUGUGGAAUCUGAGCGAUGUGGGCUCUGGGGAGAUUAAUGGCAGAGAUCAUCUCGCCACAUCAUUUAUGAUCUUCGCAAACUUUAAUUUCUCCAGAUCUCCCGUUAUGCGGUGGAGUAGAGAAGGACAAUGAUCUUCCAACAAUGCUCUGUAUUCCUCCAGAGAGCUGAGACUGCUCUAACCUGUGUGGGAACUUUACAGCAGGCUGGGAAAGUGCUGCUGCUGCACAGGGAGAUUACAUCUGGAGUAGAGUGUACAGAUCUAGCCUCUUCAAUGAAGAAACGGUGUUGUUAUAUUGGAAGCAGCUCAGAGAUGGUUCCCUCAACUGAUUCCUGCAAUGAAGGUGCUGGCGUAUAACGAAAGGAUGAUCAGGUUUAUCCAGUAGCCAUUGGAGUUUACAAAAAAUAAAGAAGAUCUUAUUUGAACAUAAAUGGCAGAAGGAGUCAAUGAGUGAAGUGAAUUACACAGAUAGUUGAGUAAUCCAUUCCGUUCUCCAGCCUGUUACACAGGAACAACAGGAUGAUAUUCAGGCCUUCGACCCUGUUACACCAAAACAGGACGAAGCUAUUCAGCCCCUGGAGCCUGAUAUACAUUUACAGAAGGAGGCCAAUCAGCCACUCGGGCCUAUAACAGUAGGCCAUGCUGCACCAGUAUCCAGUUAAACAGCAACAGGAGCAGUCCAUUCAGCCUCCUUCAGUCUGUAACAUAGGAACUGGAAGAGGCCACACAGUGACUAGAGAUUGUUACACUGGGAUAACAGGAGGCCAUUCAGACUCACCAAGCCUAUUGCAAGGGAAUUGGAUAAUGACAGAAACUAUCUGAGACUUCUUUCAUGAGAAAGGAAGAGGUAAUUUAGACAUGCGUCUGUUAUAUGGGAUCAGGAGAAGACCAAUCACUCCCUCGGUCCCAUCUCCGGGAUACAUGAGGAGACCAUUCAGUAUUUCCACCUGUUAUGAGAAGACCCAUCAGCCCCUCAAAAUGUUACACAGCAACGGGAAGAUUCCAUAAUCUCCCAAUCCUCUAAAGCAUCAACAAGAGGAGGUCAUUCUGGCCUUGGAGACGAUAACAUGGGAAUACCAGAAAGACAUCAGCUCAUCGAUUUUGAUGAUGAGUCCAUUCAGUGACACAUGGCUCUUACACAGCAAUUGGAGCAUAUCUCUUAAAGUCUUGUGCCCAUUAAACAGGAAUUCAAAGAAAAUGUAAAGGUUUUCGAAAGGGAAGAACUUAUAAUAAUGGUAUACAUUAGGGACUAAAGUGUAACAAUAAAUUAUGGUAAUUUAAGGCAAAUUCUUAGAGUC